GAUGAACGCUGGCGGCGUGCCUAACACAUGCAAGUCGAGCGAACCUUUCGGGGUGAGCGGCGGACGGGUGAGUAACGCGUGGGUAACCUGCCCUAUACACACGGAUAACGUACCGAAAGGUACGCUAAUACGGGAUAAAGUUGUUGGAUGGCAUCUUCUAACAAUCAAAGCUCCGGCGGUAUAGGAUGGACCCGCGUCUGAUUAGCUAGUUGGUGAGGUAAUGGCUCACCAAGGCGACGAUCAGUAGCCGACCUGAGAGGGUGAUCGGCCACACUGGAACUGAGACACGGUCCAGACUCCUACGGGAGGCAGCAGUGGGGAAUAUUGCACAAUGGGCGAAAGCCUGAUGCAGCAACGCCGCGUGAGCGAUGAAGGUCUUCGGAUCGUAAAGCUCUGUCCUCAAGGAAGAUAAUGACGGUACUUGAGGAGGAAGCCCCGGCUAACUACGUGCCAGCAGCCGCCGUAA
RNAcentral lists this ribosomal RNA (466 nucleotides) under uncultured bacterium. RNAcentral's name for it is "partial 16S ribosomal RNA". It matches the Rfam family "Bacterial small subunit ribosomal RNA", at positions 28 to 523 of the family's 1533-position model. The record is from RNAcentral.